RNAcentral lists this ribosomal RNA (253 nucleotides) under uncultured bacterium. RNAcentral's name for it is "partial 16S ribosomal RNA". It matches the Rfam family "Bacterial small subunit ribosomal RNA", at positions 524 to 776 of the family's 1533-position model. The record is from RNAcentral.
UACGAAGGGGGCUAGCGUUGCUCGGAAUUACUGGGCGUAAAGGGCGCGUAGGCGGAUAUUUAAGUUAGAGGUGAAAGCCCAGGGCUCAACCCUGGAAUAGCCUUUAAUACUGGAUAUCUUGAGUUCGGGAGAGGUGAGUGGAAUGCCGAGUGUAGAGGUGAAAUUCGUAGAUAUUCGGCGGAACACCAGUGGCGAAGGCGACUCACUGGCCCGAUACUGACGCUGAGGCGCGAAAGCGUGGGGAGCAAACAGG